UGGGGAAUAUUGCACAAUGGGCGCAAGCCUGAUGCAGCCAUGCCGCGUGUGUGAAGAAGGCCUUCGGGUUGUAAAGCACUUUCAGCGGGGAGGAAGGCGGUGAGGUUAAUAACCUCAUCGAUUGACGUUACCCGCAGAAGAAGCACCGGCUAACUCCGUGCCAGCAGCCGCGGUAAUACGGAGGGUGCAAGCGUUAAUCGGAAUUACUGGGCGUAAAGCGCACGCAGGCGGUCUGUCAAGUCGGAUGUGAAAUCCCCGGGCUCAACCUGGGAACUGCAUUCGAAACUGGCAGGCUAGAGUCUUGUAGAGGGGGGUAGAAUUCCAGGUGUAGCGGUGAAAUGCGUAGAGAUCUGGAGGAAGACCGGUGGCGAAGGCGGCCCCCUGGACAAAGACUGACGCUCAGGUGCGAAAGCGUGGGGAGCAAACAGG
Molecule: ribosomal RNA, 429 nt
Filed under: Chloroflexota bacterium
Lineage: Bacteria; Bacillati; Chloroflexota
Description: Chloroflexi bacterium partial 16S ribosomal RNA
Rfam family: Bacterial small subunit ribosomal RNA
Source: RNAcentral